AAGUGGAUUAGCGGCGGACGGGUGAGUAACACGUGAGUAACCUGCCUUAGACAUUGGGAUAGCCUCGGGAAACCGGGAUUAAUACCAAAUAAAAUCAUAAUGACACAUGUCAUAACGAUCAAAACUCCGGUGGUCUAGGAUGGACUCGCGUCCCAUUAGCUAGUUGGUAGAGUAAAAGCCUACCAAGGCGACGAUGGGUAGCCGGCCUGAGAGGGUGAACGGCCACAUUGGAACUGAGAAACGGUCCAA
This 249-nucleotide ribosomal RNA is filed under the name uncultured Eubacteriales bacterium. RNAcentral describes it as "uncultured Clostridiales bacterium partial 16S ribosomal RNA". It matches the Rfam family "Bacterial small subunit ribosomal RNA", at positions 85 to 334 of the family's 1533-position model. The record is from RNAcentral. Lineage: Bacteria; Bacillati; Bacillota; Clostridia; Eubacteriales.